GCCCGCGCCUCUCCCUCCACACUUCGCCGCAAGCAGAGGGAGCCGGCUCCGGCCUCAGCUGGCCCAGAGAGGGGCUCCCUCAGUGCAGUGGCGAGCUGAAGGGCUCCUCAAGGGCGGCUGGAGUGGACGCUGAGGCCGAGGAGACGCCAAGAGCAAACGAGGGCUGCUAGUACAUUGUCACCUCUCACUGGUAACUACAGUUGCUGUCAGUUUAACUGAAAGACAGGACAGAUUCUUAUGACCUGAAACAGCACCUCAACUCUUACCUUGGAUAUUUCUACAUGAAGAAUCUGCUCUGAAACUAUAGCAAACAAUCACAGAGUGUUUGAGUGUGAGUCCAGACUGGUUCGGGAAGACCAAGAAGCAAUGAUGAUGUCUGUUUUUGUCAAAUGUCUGAAAACUAUUUUUAUUUUUCUAAAACUUUGUUCAGAAGUCUCAAUAUUGUAGUGUAUAGAGAUGUACACUAAUUUAGUGAUAUGAAGAUGAAGGGCUUUAAGCCUGUGUUCCUUGCAGGCAUCUCAGUACCUAGGAACUCCAAAGAACAAACUGUUGCUCGUGCAAAAUUAAAUUUCAUAAAACAGCAAA
RNAcentral lists this long non-coding RNA (585 nucleotides) under Homo sapiens (human). Its description in RNAcentral is "uncharacterized LOC105374928, transcript variant 3 (LOC105374928)". Lineage: Eukaryota; Metazoa; Chordata; Mammalia; Primates; Hominidae. The record is from RNAcentral.